GUCCAAGUAAUUUAAUUAAAAUACUGGCCUUGUAAGCCAGCUACGAAGGUAAACCCCUUCCUAGGACC
This 68-nucleotide transfer RNA is filed under the name Phascolosorex dorsalis (narrow-striped marsupial shrew). RNAcentral describes it as "tRNA-Thr". It matches the Rfam family "tRNA". Rfam says of the family: Transfer RNA (tRNA) molecules are approximately 80 nucleotides in length. Their secondary structure includes four short double-helical elements and three loops (D, anti-codon, and T loops). Further hydrogen bonds mediate the characteristic L-shaped molecular structure. tRNAs have two regions of fundamental functional importance: the anti-codon, which is responsible for specific mRNA codon recognition, and the 3' end, to which the tRNAs corresponding amino acid is attached (by aminoacyl-tRNA synthetases). tRNAs cope with the degeneracy of the genetic code in two manners: having more than one tRNA (with a specific anti-codon) for a particular amino acid; and 'wobble' base-pairing, i.e. permitting non-standard base-pairing at the 3rd anti-codon position. The record is from RNAcentral. Lineage: Eukaryota; Metazoa; Chordata; Mammalia; Dasyuromorphia; Dasyuridae.